Non-coding RNA from Phalacrocorax carbo (great cormorant), 7702 nucleotides. Lineage: Eukaryota; Metazoa; Chordata; Aves; Suliformes; Phalacrocoracidae. The record is from RefSeq and is a predicted model, not a curated record.
CCCCCGUGUGCUGGCCCCACGGCCACGGACGUGUCCCCAGGCUGGGCUGGGCUCUCUGCCGUCCCUUCCUCCCCGCGGAGCACGGCCGGAUCCUGCCCACCGCCACCCCGAGUGGUUUGCCCGCAAGCGCUGCCUGCCCAGCAUCCUCUGCCCCGUGUUCCCUACCCCACGGGGAUGCUCUCUGGAAAGCUCCAGCACAAAGAAGCUGCACGGCGGCCAGGAGCGUGCGGAGCCCGGCGGUUCCCGAGCCCAGCCCUCCCCUGGAAAUCAGAAACCUCAUCAAGAAUAGGGCUCGAGACAGGUAAAUGGAUUCUUGCCUGAUUUUCAAUGCUCCUGGAAGGAAAUGUAGCCAAAAUGCUGGUUUACUUCUUUGUCUUGAAACCACCAUUUUCUCCUAAACCUGGUGAUCUUAGGUAGGGGAUUAGAGGAGAGGCCGGGGCCAGCGCCCCUCCAGGGUGCUUCAACACAGCCCUUCCCCCUGCAAAGAGUUAACCUGACAGAUGCUACCCGGGCUCCUUUUGGGGAGCCAUUUUCUCUCGCUCAUUGUCUCACCGCCUUUUGUGUGUGCAAUUACAUCCUGCCCCGGGGAGCCAGGAGGAGCCCAGAAAUAAUCAGGUUUUUAGUCGUUUCUGGGCUUGCAGGGAGAUUUCCCCCCCCCGCCCCGCCUUCUGCCGGGGCUGCCCAGGCUGCCCAGCCCCAAGAGCUGCAGACAAAGGGAGGCAGCACCCGGCACUGCCUCGGCAGCAGCAGAGCCUGGGCUAUGCUGGAGCCUGGUGCUCUGCUGGCUGGCAGCGAGGGAUGGGGAGUGCUGGCAGGGCCAAGGGCAGGGGUGCUUUGAAUCCGCUGCGGGAGCUGGGGGGUUGGGGGUGCCCAGAUGCUGCAUAUCACAGAUUGCCCCUCCGGGCACGGGCAGCAGAGUAGCCAACACUAUGCCUGCAGCACGGCAGGAGCACACAGGCAGCUCACGGUGGUGGCAUGCCUGCCAUGCACAGGCAGCUCGCCUGCUGCCCUCACCUCCCUGCUCCUGCCUGCAGAGGAGCUUGCACUCCCCUCCAGAUUCCUCUUUGCUUGAGGGGGCUUUUAGCUGCCGUUUAAUCUGAAUGCUGCACCUAGGUGCUCAGCCCCAGGGCACCGUACAUGCCACCAACCCCCUGUGGCAAUAGGCAGCUCGAGCUCAUGGCUGCCAUACACAAGACGUGUGUUUGGCUAAGCGCUGCUCAUGCAAAAUUGUUUUUCACCCCCCUGCCUCCUGGGAUGUUCUUCAUUGCGGGUUGAGAGAGGCCAUCCUGCAGCAGCCAGGCUGUGCAGACGCGUCCUGCCUGCCCCACCACAGGCACCUCCUGCUUGGAUCCAGGCAGGGAAUCCAUUUGCCAGAUGCUUGAUGGCAUCUUGGGUGCCUGCCACUGCCCAGCCCCCUGCUGAGUCUGAGCCUGGCUCCCACUGCCCAGUCCCACAGCAGCUGGUUUGCAAAUGCUGUCUGGGCAUGCUGUCCCCGCAGGAGGGACUGUCCUGCAGGCAGCACCUGCAAUAUGCGGCGAUAAUGAACUAUGGGAAGCAAUAGCGGCUCCACAGCUGAACUGCAGACUCAUCACGGCCCAGCUCCCCUGGGACCUGUUGCCAUUAUGGCUUUUCCAUGCGGGCAGGGCAGGAGGAAUGCGGGCAGGCACAGUCUGGCUGCUGGCACCAGCUGUGUGCGCCCACACCCCUGCAGAUGUGGAGCAGCACCCACCGCAGCACAGCUGUGACUGCCACCCACUCCACUACAGCCAGCACCUGCGGCACGUGCAGGUACGAGUGACCCAGUUCAACCACAGGGCAGAGGCAGAGGCAGCAGUGGCAGUGAUUAGUGGCAGUGGCAGAGGUGGCGGGGCAGAGGCACCAGCAGUGGCAGGCAGUCCCAGCAGCAGACAGGGACAGAGAGUUUGGGGCGUUGCCACCAUUCUGGUGUGUUCUUCCCAGUGCCCCCGGGCCUGGUGGCAGUUCUGGCUCCCCCCUACGCUGCACGGGGACAGGCACAGGAGGGAGAGGUGUCAUUUCCUUGGGCACUGGGUGCCCCUGAGCAAAUGGCAGGCAGCCAAGCAGACCCACAUGGGGGGUGAGUACAUAUUCCCAUGGGGACCUCCCCCAUCUCUGUCCUGCCUGCCUUUGUCGCGCUGCUGCCCACAGCAGAGCUUGGCACCAGCUGCCUGCAGCCACACGAGCUGCUGUGAGCAGCUGGGCACCUAGGAGCAGUGCUGGCUUUGGUGGGCAUCCAUGGGGCACAGGGAGCACCUGCUGUAGGGGGCAGCUGGGCCUUGCCAUGCUACCCUUAGGCAGUACCAGGACAGAGGUGUUAGUCUGCCUGAGCUGGGAGGACACCUGGGCUGGUCCCUACUCCCCAGGGCAGCCCAGUGUGGGGAGGGAGAAGAAAUGCAGGGCAGGCUCAGCUGCUGGCAAGGUGUCUCACCCUGCAGAGGUCUUACAUCCCAGUCCUGCAGGAUCUGGCCCUUCCUUUGCACCAAGCUUUGGGCAGCGCCCAGCCACCCUGCAGGGACCAGGAGUGAUGCCAGCAGUGGUGGGGUCCUCAGCAGAGGAUGUUGCCUCAGGAAUUUGAUCCUGAAGGGAUGGGGAGCUGGAGGAAUGGCAGGGGAGCCGAGGAAGGCUCAGCCUGUCUUCCUGCCCACCCUGCCCUGGCCGGCUUUCCUGCCAGGCUUCCAGCAGCACGAUGCAUCCCUCACUGGCUCGGCUUGGCUCCGCCUGGGGAUGACGGCGCCUCGUUGCUCUCCUUUGCUGCGUUGGUUGCUUUCUUUUGCAGCUGCUAAUGACUGACCUGAGGUCUGUUCACACACAGUCCCCUGCACGGCCACGGCAGUGGAGCAGCCAGACAGGACGGGGGGACAGUGCAUGGCACUCGCAUAGCCAGUGACUACAGCACCACCAGCCCCAGGAGCACAGCCCCAGCUCCUGCUCAGCCAGACCGGCUGUGCCCAGAGCGAGGCCGGGGCUCAGGAGCCACCAUUGCUGCCCACGCACGGAUGCCAGAGCUGAGCCAGCCCCGGCAGAGUGACCCAGUGCCAGCUGCCAUGGGCCAGAGCCACGAGCCCGGCUGCUGCGGGGGACAUGGCCGAAGAGACAGUGGUGGUGACACCUGAGGACAUGGGUCUGCAUGAGCGCGUGGUUUUCCUCCAAAGUACUGGGGUCCCCUUCCCUCCUGCCCCUCCAUCCCAGCCAGACCCAGUGCAUGGGUCUCCCUGUGUGCCCUCCCCAGCAAUGGGCAGGGCAUGGGCAGGAUGCCCGUCCUCUUCACUGAAUGCAAUGUAGAAGGAGGGAGAAGGGGAAGGGGACAGGAGCAGAGCUGUGCCAGAUCCUGAAGGAGACAUGAUAGCCAGAGCCCAAAGGAACCCUGGUUGUCUCCACUGAUCCUGCCCAUCCCUCUGUCUGUCCUGCUUUCUGCUCUGGAAGUGCUCUGCACUGCCACGACCUGGCAGGACCCUGACUCUACUCUGCUUUGAGAAAACAAUUGGUUUGUGGAGCAGCCUGGAGCAUGGGGAAGGACAUGGGCAGCACAUCCUCCUCCUGAGAAGCCUGUGGAAUGGUCCAUGUGGGGCCAACAGUGGUCCCGUAAGCAGUUGCGACCAUUGCCUGCCCUGCUGCCCGCUCCAGCAAGGAUCCCCCAAGCAUGUGGGAGGGCUGGGUGUGCAGCAGACUGGGGGCUGAGGGCAGAUACAGCUCAUGGCAGGCUCAUGGCACACAUUACAGCCUCUUGACACCCAAAAUGGAGAAGCAUCCUCAUGGGGACCAGAGGGACCUAGCGCUGCAGGAGGAGGUGAACCAGAGGGACACAGGCCAGAGGGUGCCCUGGGUGCCCCUUCCCAGGCCUUAUUUCUCAGGGCAUGAUGCAGAGCCGCUCGCUGCUCCUGCCACGCCUUGGCAAGCAGCACGGCUCUGCCGCGCGCUCCUGCAGGCAGCCCCGCGGAGAAGCAGCUUCUGAUGGGGAGGGGAAAAGCUAUGGGGCACCUUUCCGCUGCUCCAUAUAGUGGGUUUUCCUUCUGGACCUCCUCCUCCCUCCAUGGGCAGUGGGGGCUCAGUGGAGACCCAGAGCAGUCAUUGCUGUCUCAGCAGAAGCCCUGCUUUUGCAGAGCUACCUGUAGCCUUGCCCCAGGCACCGCCUGCGGUGCUUUCACCCCUUUCCUCUCUGCUUCUUCCAGCUCCUUUAGCGCCCUUACCCCGGAGCCCUGCAAUGCCGAGACAGUCCGGCACUGCUGGGAUUGUCUCCUCCGUGCAGCCUGUCUCUUGUUGCCUCCAGUUCCAGGGCUGGAAAACACAUGUUGUGUGGGGGUACAUGCUGCUCAGGACAUUUUGUAUCUCACCAGCACGGAUGAUAGGGGCAGAUCCCUGCAAAACAUUUAAUUCAGAAAGUAGGUUACAUUACGCAGGCUAAACCCUCUGUUAACACCUUCCCAAAUCUCAAUCCAGUGGCAAAGCCCAAAAAAGCCUCCUGCUCUCUUGAGCCGGACCCCCUCUGCUUCCGCCAGAGCCAAGCAGACCCUCCCCGGGAAAGCACUCCGCUGGCGGGGGGCUAACUGGGACCAGCUCUGCAUGCUGCUGCUGUGCUCCGAUAUUAACCUACUAACCCGCUGGGACCCCUGCCGCCCCCUCUGCGAGGGGUGCUGACGCCCCUGGCAAAUGGACUAACCCACUAACCGGCUCCGGCGCAUGUCCUACUAACCGGCCUUGUCUCACCUCCUACUAACUGCGGGCAGCCAGCGCUGUCUUUAAAGGGGAACGGAAAAGCUGGGUAAGUACAUUUGUAAGUGCCGGGUGUUGCUGUGUUGGUGACAGGCUGCACGGGCAGGGCUGAGCAACCCGAGCUCCUGCAGUGGGCAGGAGAGGCAGCUGGCAGCCCCUGCCCCGCGCAGGCAGCCCUCGCUGGCACGAGGAGGGGGUUUCUUCCCAGCUCACCAUGCCCAGGUCUGCCUGUGGAGCCUGCUGCUGACUAGGAGCCUAAAACAGUUUUAUCAGCAGAAGCUUUUCAGUUCCUUUUUAAGCCAGUAGAUCUCUGUUACUAACACAUUCCUGAACUGAAUUAAACAAACUAACGGUUGCUGCUUUUCUCUUCAUUUCUCUUCCAGUAUGUAUGUCCUCUAAGUCAGACCGAUUGUGCCAUGCUUCUGUUACUAACCACCUGUACUAAUUGUUCCUGACUUGUUUUUCUAUUGCUACUAACAAAUACUCUUUGCACUUCGAUUCUCGGAUGCUAUUCACCAUGACAAAUGAACAGGGGCCUCUUCCUGGACUCUUGGUUAUUAACCAGCAGCAGCCCGAUUUUCAAUGCUGCUGAGCAUCUCUACCUCCCAUUUGGUGCGAUGGAAAUGAAGGUGCUCAGGCUGGGGGGCUUUGAAAAUUUCUCUAUUGGCCUUCUGUUUUCCAAGAAAUUUCAUGUGGCUAAAAUGAAGAAAAGAGGCUAAGUGAAAACAGGGCAAUGCAUAAUGGCCGUAAAGGUCCAGCAAACCCAGUUAGCAGAGAGAUUCACCCAAAGAGCGAUGCUAUUGCCAUGAGCCCUACCAGAGCCUGAGCUUGGGGCUCUCCCGGGGCCCCAGUUCUCUCGUCAUGGGGAAUGGUGUGGUGCUGCUCCCUGCAUCGGUACACAGGUGCCGGGGUGGCUGCAGCGCGCUCCUGGGUUCCUCUCUUCACUCCCUUUGUCUCUCUGCAGUCUAUCUAGUGACCCUGAUGCAUGUGGAAGCCAUUGCUGGCAGCGUGGUCCUGACUAACCGCACAGCGCCGAGGGCUGCGUCUAACCACUGGGUUGGUACUCGCAGGGUCCCCCCAGCCACGAGCCGAACGGGCAGGAGCGGGCAGUGGGUGGUGGAGGAUGAUUCUGCUGCUGGCUGCCUAGCAGAGCCAGGGCGCUGUGAGGCUGGGACAGGGGCACAGCCUGUACUUUGCCUGCCUGUCAUUUGGCUAAACGUCCCCUGCCUCUACAAGGGUUCUGCUGGGGUUAAGGCUUCAGGAUCUGGCCCAUCUGUAUGGGGUUGGCAUGCAGGGUAGUGAUCUGUGGUAAGACGCCCUCAACAGUAAGUGCUGGCUGUACCAGCAGCAGCGCUGCGAUGACCAGUGAGGCAGAACCAAGCCCUGCGUGCCAGGAGAGGACAGUGGCCCUGUGCUGCUGGCCAGGACAGGGGCUGGCUCAUGAGGACAGCCCACACUGUGGCUGCUGGGGGGACACAGCAGUGGGGUGGCUUGGGGGGCGGCUGCCUCAACCAAGGGUCAGGGCAGCUUUGCUCGGGUGGGUUGUACGGUUCCAGACAGCAUCCAGGUCUGGCUGCUCUCUCUUGGCUUUGGCUUGUGCUCACUAACCCCAAGGCAAGGACCUCCCCAGAUAACCCAGUGUUGCUGGUUGGCUUCAGUCUCAGCCAGCUGGUUGGAAGGCAGAGCCAGAGUGGGGUCCCCUGGGCAGCCAGGUUCAUCCUGUGAUGCUGCCCACCUUCCCUUGGCAUCCCUGCUCUGCACUGACUGCAGCCAGGUCGUUCACUGGGGGGUCUUGCUGGUCUCUCACGCUGAUGGGUCUCCCCUCUCCACCCAGCUCCAUGGCUGCCUGACCUCCACCAUAACUCACUAACCACACGCCUCCCUUUCCUCUGCACGACUGGGAUCAGAGGGGAGUUUUGGGCUGAUGCUCCUGUGUUUUGAUUGAAGGAGGAGGCAGGGCCCUGCUGCAGGCUGGGAGCAAAGGGUCAAGCAGAGGUGUGGGGAUGGGAAGGAGCUGGUGGCGGCGGGACAAGCUGGGUUGGGCCCAUCGAGGCAGGCAGGUUCAGGGCUCCUGCACAGAUCAGGAGCACCAUGAGUGUUGGGCUGGCGUUGUCAGAGCCCACCCGUCACAAGGGGCUGCCCUCCCACAGACCCCCCUUUCAGCUCCAGAGCAGCCUUCCAGCCAGCCAUGCACCCACAGGGACCUCCCCAGGCUGGUCACUGAGGGAAGGGAUGGGACUACGAGUCACCCAGAUGGCCCAGAGGAUGCACUGGGCAAGUGUGACCCUGCACAGGCAGCAAGUGUUGCCCAGGGACCCCUUGGUAGGGACAGGCCACCAGUGCUCAUCAGGUGGCUGCGCCCCCCUGCAGAACCACCGGUCCUGGACAGAGAGGGGCUGCAGGGGGGUGAUGAGAAAGGCUUCACAAAACAGCCAGGUUGCUCCUUUGCUCUGCCCUGGCACCUUUGGCCUCUCCACCCCUGCUCCCCAUUUCCCUUGGCUGGGAGAGAAGUCACUCUGUCCAUCUCUCUUUGCUGGUGCCCCCAGAACUGUCUGAAGAGGGGAAGCAGCAGCGCAGGUGGGAUGUGAUGGGCAGAUCCCCCUUUACCAGCUGCAGCGAUGGUAGGCGUGGGGCCAGAUCACCCCAGUAGCGAUAUGGGCAGAGGUCCAGGGAUGGUGCCCAGCCCUGGGGUGCACCAUCCUGCCUAGGGCAUGCUGGCCAGGGCUGGCCAGGGCUGGUCCUGCUCUGCUGGGACCCUGCUGCUGCCCCACACCCAGUGCGGUAGGAGUGGGCACGGCCACAGUGGGGCUGAGUGCUGGCACGGGGCAAAGAUGCUCUGGGGAAGGGGGUCCUGGUGCUGCCUCAGUGGUGCGAGCAGGAGUCCUGUGGGACCCCACAGCCCUGAGGAGUUCCCUACUGCCUGUAAUGUCUGCUGUGAACAUGGCAAGUGUGCAAACAGCCUGCAGUCUGGUGU